RNAcentral lists this ribosomal RNA (439 nucleotides) under uncultured Nocardioides sp. Its description in RNAcentral is "bacterial SSU rRNA". It matches the Rfam family "Bacterial small subunit ribosomal RNA", at positions 338 to 789 of the family's 1533-position model. Lineage: Bacteria; Bacillati; Actinomycetota; Actinomycetes; Propionibacteriales; Nocardioidaceae. The record is from RNAcentral.
CCUACGGGAGGCAGCAGUGGGGAAUAUUGGACAAUGGGCGGAAGCCUGAUCCAGCAACGCCGCGUGAGGGAUGACUGCCUUCGGGUUGUAAACCUCUUUCGGUGGGGACGAAGCGCAAGUGACGGUACCCACUAAAGAAGCACCGGCCAACUACGUGCCAGCAGCCGCGGUAAUACGUAGGGUGCGAGCGUUGUCCGGAAUUAUUGGGCGUAAAGGGCUCGUAGGCGGUUUGUCGCGUCGGGAGUGAAAACGCCGUGCUUAACACGGCGCUUGCUUUCGAUACGGGCAGACUAGAGGUAUUCAGGGGAGAACGGAAUUCCUGGUGUAGCGGUGAAAUGCGCAGAUAUCAGGAGGAACACCGGUGGCGAAGGCGGUUCUCUGGGAAUGACCUGACGCUGAGGAGCGAAAGUGUGGGGAGCGAACAGGAUUAGAUACCCGA